RNAcentral lists this ribosomal RNA (480 nucleotides) under uncultured bacterium. Its description in RNAcentral is "bacterial SSU rRNA". It matches the Rfam family "Bacterial small subunit ribosomal RNA", at positions 30 to 506 of the family's 1533-position model. The record is from RNAcentral.
UUGAACGCUGGCGGCAGGCUUAACACAUGCAAGUCGAGCGGUUUGGUUAGCUUGCUAACCAGAUAGCGGCGAACGGGUGAGGAAUGCUUGGGAAUCUGCCUAGUAGUGGGGGAUAACGUUUCGAAAGGAACGCUAAUACCGCAUACGCCCUACGGGGGAAAGGGGGGGAUCUUCGGACCUCUCGCUAUUAGAUGAGCCCAAGUCGGAUUAGCUAGUUGGUGAGGUAAAGGCUCACCAAGGCGACGAUCCGUAGCUGGUCUGAGAGGAUGAUCAGCCACACUGGAACUGAGACACGGUCCAGACUCCUACGGGAGGCAGCAGUGGGGAAUAUUGGACAAUGGGCGAAAGCCUGAUCCAGCCAUGCCGCGUGUGUGAAGAAGGCCUUCGGGUUGUAAAGCACUUUAAGCGAGGAGGAAUGGCUCUGGGUUAAUACCCUUGAGCAGUGACGUUACUCGCAGAAUAAGCACCGGCUAACUCUGU